Molecule: transfer RNA, 76 nt
Filed under: Oscillospiraceae bacterium
Lineage: Bacteria; Bacillati; Bacillota; Clostridia; Eubacteriales; Oscillospiraceae
Also listed under: 4 other names
Description: tRNA-Gly
Rfam family: tRNA
About the family: Transfer RNA (tRNA) molecules are approximately 80 nucleotides in length.
Source: RNAcentral
GCGGCCAUAGCUCAUCUGGUAGAGCGCCACCUUGCCAAGGUGGAGGUAGCGAGUUCGAGCCUCGUUGGCCGCUCCA